GCCUGGCUGGCUCAGUCAGUAGAGCAUGCGGCUCUGGAUCUCCAGGGUUGUGAGUUCAAGCCCCAUGUUGGGCA
This 74-nucleotide transfer RNA is filed under the name Canis lupus familiaris (dog). It matches the Rfam family "tRNA". Rfam says of the family: Transfer RNA (tRNA) molecules are approximately 80 nucleotides in length. The record is from Rfam by way of RNAcentral. Lineage: Eukaryota; Metazoa; Chordata; Mammalia; Carnivora; Canidae. RNAcentral also lists the same sequence under 2 other names.